RNAcentral lists this long non-coding RNA (312 nucleotides) under Pan troglodytes (chimpanzee). RNAcentral's name for it is "long non-coding RNA NONPTRT004479". The record is from RNAcentral. Lineage: Eukaryota; Metazoa; Chordata; Mammalia; Primates; Hominidae.
UAGAUGGGCAGCCAGAUAUAUCAAGGCCUUUUGGAUCUCAGCCUUGGCAUAGCUGUCACAAACUCAUAUAUGUCAGACCAAAUCCUAAAACUGGGGUUCCUAUAGGUCAUUGGCCUGUUCCAGAGUCUUUUUGGCCAGAUCAAAAUUCGCCAACACUACCACCUCGUACAUCUCAUCCUGUAGUGAAGUUUUCCUGUACAGACUGUGAACCAAUGGUUAUUGAUAAACUUCCUUUUGACAAAUAUGAGUUGGAACCUUCACCACUGACUCAAUUUAUCCUGGAAAGGAAAUCUCCUCAAACAUGUUGGCAGG